ACAAACUUGGUCAUUUAGAGGAAGUAAAAGUCGUAACAAGGUUUCCGUAGGUGAACCUGCGGAAGGAUCAUUAAAAAUUUUUGAUUUUUAUGGAUCAAAAAUCCAUAAUUCACCUUGUGUGCAACCACUGAAAAUUAUGUUUACCUUUGGGGAUUAGUUUUUUUAAAAAAACUAUUUCCCAGAGGAUUAAAUUGAUUUACUAUUUUUGAUAUGUUAUAUGACUUAAAUAUAAUAAUAAAAACAACUUUCAACAACGGAUCUCUUGGCUCUCGCAUCGAUGAAGAACGCAGC
This 291-nucleotide unclassified non-coding RNA is filed under the name uncultured fungus. Its description in RNAcentral is "partial contains small subunit ribosomal RNA, internal transcribed spacer 1, and 5.8S ribosomal RNA". The stretch from base 1 to 73 matches the Rfam family "Eukaryotic small subunit ribosomal RNA", at positions 1759 to 1831 of the family's 1831-position model. The record is from RNAcentral. Lineage: Eukaryota; Fungi.